GUGAAUCAUCAAAUCUUUGAACGCAAAUCGCACUUUCUGGCAUUCCGGAAAGUAUGCCUGUUUGAGGGUCAGUUAAAUCAAAAUCGGCGGUGUUGCUGCCUUUUGUGGUGAUGCGGCGGAUUUGAGUUGUUUUACUUUCGGGUAAGUGACUCAAAAAUUUGCAUGAUUUUCGAACGUAUUUAAAUUGCUUACGUAUUUUUGUGAUAUCGCUUACUUUAUUAGGAUCGUC
Molecule: unclassified non-coding RNA, 229 nt
Filed under: Glomus sp.
Lineage: Eukaryota; Fungi; Glomeromycota; Glomeromycetes; Glomerales; Glomeraceae
Description: partial contains 5.8S ribosomal RNA and internal transcribed spacer 2
Rfam family: 5.8S ribosomal RNA (bases 1-71)
Source: RNAcentral